AGAGUUUGAUCCUGGCUCAGGAUGAACGCUAGCGGCAGGCUUAACACAUGCAAGUCGAGGGGCAGCACGGGUAGCAAUACUUGGUGGCGACCGGCGCAAGGGUGCGUAACGCGUGAGCAACAUGCCCGUAUCAGGGGGAUAAUCCAUGGAAACGUGGUCUAAUACCCCAUAGUAAGUUUUUGGGGCAUCUCAAAGAUUUUAAAGCUUUGGUGGAUACGGAUUGGCUCGCGUGACAUUAGCUAGAUGGUAAGGUAACGGCUUACCAUGGCUACGAUGUCUAGGGGUUCUGAGAGGAAGGUCCCCCACACUGGAACUGAGACACGGUCCAGACUCCUACGGGAGGCAGCAGUGAGGAAUAUUGGACAAUGGAUGGAAAUCUGAUCCAGCCAUGCCGCGUGCAGGAAGACGGCCCUAUGGGUUGUAAACUGCUUUUGUAUGGGAGCAAUAAGAUCUACGUGUAGAUUGAUGAGAGUACCAUACGAAUAAGCACCGGCUAACUCCGUGCCAGCAGCCGCGGUAAUACGGAGGGUGCAAGCGUUAUCCGGAUUUAUUGGGUUUAAAGGGUGCGCAGGCGGGAGAUUAAGUCGGCGGUGAAAUUUUGCAGCUCAACUGUAAAAGUGCCUUCGAAACUGGUUUCCUUGAGUGUAGAUGAAGUAGGCGGAAUUUGUGGUGUAGCGGUGAAAUGCAUAGAUAUCACGAGGAACUCCGAUUGCGCAGGCAGCUUACUAAACUACUACUGACGCUCAGGCACGAAGGCGUGGGGAUCAAACAGGAUUAGAUACCCUGGUAGUCCACGCAGUAAACGAUGAUUACUAGCUGUUUGCGAUACAAUGUAAGCGGCUGAGCGAAAGCGUUAAGUAAUCCACCUGGGGAGUACGUUCACAAGAAUGAAACUCAAAGGAAUUGACGGGGGCCCGCACAAGCGGAGGAACAUGUGGUUUAAUUCGAUGAUACGCGAGGAACCUUACCCGGGCUUGAAAUGCAUCUGACCGGCCUUGAAAGAGGCUUUCCCUUCGGGGCAGAUGUGUAGGUGCUGCAUGGUUGUCGUCAGCUCGUGCCGUGAGGUGUCGGCUUAAGUGCCAUAACGAGCGCAACCCUCAUCAUUAGUUACCAUCAGGUCAAGCUGGGGACUCUAAUGAGACUGCCAUCGUAAGAUGUGAGGAAGGUGGGGAUGACGUCAAAUCAGCACGGCCCUUACGUCCGGGGCGACACACGUGUUACAAUGGGUGGUACAAAGGGCAGCUACCUGGCGACAGGAUGCUAAUCUCCAAAACCACUCUCAGUUCGGAUCGGAGUCUGCAACUCGACUCCGUGAAGCUGGAUUCGCUAGUAAUCGCGCAUCAGCCACGGCGCGGUGAAUACGUUCCCGGGCCUUGUACACACCGCCCGUCAAGCCAUGGAAGCUGGGGGUACCUGAAGUUCGUAACCGUUAAGGAGCGACCUAGGGUAAAACUAGUGACUGGGGCUAAGUCGUAACAAGGUAACC
RNAcentral lists this ribosomal RNA (1486 nucleotides) under uncultured bacterium. RNAcentral describes it as "16S ribosomal RNA". It matches the Rfam family "Bacterial small subunit ribosomal RNA". The record is from RNAcentral.